Molecule: long non-coding RNA, 849 nt
Filed under: Salmo salar (Atlantic salmon)
Lineage: Eukaryota; Metazoa; Chordata; Actinopteri; Salmoniformes; Salmonidae
Description: lncRNA (ENSSSAG00000104333.1)
Source: RNAcentral
UCCGGCCCCGUCCAGAACUUCCUCCCAGGUCCACUUCUCCCGCCAGUCCAACUCGAAUUCCCUCUGCUCCUUCUUCUGCUGCUUGGUCCAUAGUUGGUGGGUGAUUCUGUCACGGUUGUCGUCGGUGAAUGAGGACCAAAACGCAGCAGGAAGAGCUCAUGACGUCUGGCUGCACUUUUGCAGCAUUGAGCUGGAACCCUGAUCCGCCACAGACUCUGGCCUGCCAAACAGCAAUAUCAGAGGACGUCCUGCGCCAGUUUGCAGCCGGAGUGUGGGGUGUCUUUGAGGGGGAUUACCUUGGCUUUCCAUAAAUCCAAUGCAUGCGGGAAGUAGUUAUUGUAUUUUACAUUGGAAAUCAAAUUAUACAUGUAAGUAUUUUUUACAAUGAAGAGUUGUUGUUUUUUUCUGUGUCCAGACAGCUGAUCUCAACUGGAAGCUCACAAAUUAGUCAUUUGAGGAGUUCAAACAUUGGCACUUUGAACAAGAGACUGUCAGGAAGUAGGCGCCACUAGAACAAAGUGUCCUUCGUCUCUGUCCACAGUGGACACAGAGGACACACUGCGGACCGGUGCUGGAGGCGUCCACCCAGGAGUCCGGAGGGCAGGCAGAGCACUACAUCGACCCCCCAGGUUAUCAGCCGGUCCUGGUGCCCUGGCAGCAGAGCCAGACGGAAGCUCCUGCGGUGGAGGAAUGGGUACAGCGCUCUCAGGAGACCUGGAGUGCUGUCCAGGAGUGCCUGAAGCGGGCUAUCAGGCGACAGAAGGAGAACGCUGACCGCCGCCGCAGUGAGGCCCCCGUGUAUCAUCCGGGGGAUAGAGUCUGGCUCUCGACCCGGAACCUGCCCCUCCG